RNAcentral lists this ribosomal RNA (302 nucleotides) under uncultured bacterium. RNAcentral describes it as "partial 16S ribosomal RNA". It matches the Rfam family "Bacterial small subunit ribosomal RNA", at positions 508 to 809 of the family's 1533-position model. The record is from RNAcentral.
GCAGUAGCCACGGGAAUACAGAGGGUGCGAGCGUUAAUCGGAUUUACUGGGCGUAAAGCGUGCGUAGGCGGCUUUUUAAGUCGGAUGUGAAAUCCCUGAGCUUAACUUAGGAAUUGCAUUCGAUACUGGGAAGCUAGAGUAUGGGAGAGGAUGGUAGAAUUCCAGGUGUAGCGUUGAAAUGCGUAGAGAUCUGGAGGAAUACCGAUGGCGAAGGCAGCCAUCUGGCCUAAUACUGACGCUGAGGUACGAAAGCAUGGGGAGCAAACAGGAUUAGAUACCCCAGUAGUCCCUGUCUCUUAUAA